RNAcentral lists this ribosomal RNA (483 nucleotides) under uncultured bacterium. RNAcentral's name for it is "partial 16S ribosomal RNA". It matches the Rfam family "Bacterial small subunit ribosomal RNA", at positions 30 to 507 of the family's 1533-position model. The record is from RNAcentral.
UUGAACGCUGGCGGCAGGCCUAACACAUGCCAGUCGAGCGGAUGAAGGGAGCUUGCUCCUGGAUUCAGCGGCGGACGGGUGAGUAAUGCCUAGGAAUCUGCCUGGUAGUGGGGGAUAACGUCCGGAAACGGGCGCUAAUACCGCAUACGUCCUGAGGGAGAAAGUGGGGGAUCUUCGGACCUCACGCUAUCAGAUGAGCCUAGGUCGGAUUUGCUAGUUGGUGGGGUAAAGGCCUACCAAGGCGACGAUCCGAAACGGGUCUGAGAGGAGGGUCAGUCACACUGGAACUGGAACACCGUCCAUGCUCCUACGGGAGGCAGCAGUGGGGAAUAUUGGACAAUGGGCGAAAGCCUGAUCCAGCCAUGCCGCGUGUGUGAAGAAGGUCUUCGGAUUGUAAAGCACUUUAAGUUGGGAGGAAGGGCAGUAAGUUAAUACCUUGCUGUUUUGACGUUACCAACAGAAUAAGCACCGGCUAACUUCGUG